Molecule: non-coding RNA, 74 nt
Organism: Podarcis lilfordi (Lilford's wall lizard)
Lineage: Eukaryota; Metazoa; Chordata; Lepidosauria; Squamata; Lacertidae
Source: the annotation of a GenBank genome assembly
GCCAGGAUAGCUCAGUUAGGUAGAGCAUGGUGCUGAUAACACCAAGGUUGCAGGUUCAAUCCCCAUAUGUGACA